GGGCUGCUGUGAUGAAGGAAUUUGAGCGGACGUUUGCCGAGCUGUGCUGGCCCCGUGGGGUCCUGCUGCAAGGACCGAGGGCAGGAGCGAUGCCAGCAAUGAGUGUUUUCCAUCAAUAUUUCAUCAUAAGAAGUUGGUGCAGUGACUUAGUGGAGUCUCGCUUUGCUGGAGCAGAUUUUUUUGAAUAAAAACUGUCCGGUGUCCUCAGCCCACCAGUAUAACCAGUGUUGUCUCCAGAGCUGCGGCGUCGUGCCACGUGGUCGGCUGACAGCAACUGCAGCAACAAGCAAGAUUAAGCAAUGGGAAAACGGGACAGUUAGAAGGUAAGAGGAUAUUUGGAGCAUUUAUCCACUGUCUGCUCCUUGUGAAGCUCUCCCAAAGCUUGACUGUAGCUCUGACUGUCUCACUAUCUUUGAAGAUCUGAUCCAAGAAAUGACUCAGGGCCCACCGGUGUUGCCAAAUAACUUCAUUCCGUUGCUUGCUCCUGCUCUUCGCCGUCUGACUGUCCGCGCUAGAUGCUGGUUUGAAACGAGCCAGCUAGUUCCCUCCAGGAGGGACCUCUCCAGGGCUGCUGUCACAGAUGCAGUGCAUAUUCUCACCAUCACGCCGUCUCACAGCUCCGAUGAGCUGUGAAACGUCCCGGGCGUCGUCUCAGCUCUCUUGGACGGACGUUGUGCCGUAGGAUUGCCGCCCGGGUCCCGGCGGGUGUGCAGUGCGGAUGAGGCCAUCUCGUUCAAGAGGGAGCUGGUCCUGAGCCAUGCCCUCAAAUCCCGUGGGCCAAAGAGGGAAGAAAUUGUUCAAGGUUGGACUGAUGAGCGUGCAGCGGGGGCAGUUUGCUCUGACCAUGCGGCCCGUUACAGAGAGUUGCCUUAGUUGUGAGUAACACAUGGGUUUAGUAACAAUUUAAAAUUUACAGCAUAUUGUGAAGGUAACUUUGUAUGGGAAUACACAGCUAUAUUACUUUUUUUCUAGCUUUAUCAACAAGCAUAGCCUUUCUUAACAGCUUUUCUACCGUUUUGCCUUGUGAUUUAUUUUUGAAUGUGUUAUAAAUAGCCAAUGCCCUAGAUCGGGUCAGUUCCCUAGGGAAAUAAGUGCAUACGCCAUAUAUUAGAGGUUAAAUUCUUCCCUGCCUUAUGCUCACUGAGUAUGGCAUUAGGGGAGA
Tyto alba (common barn owl) is the source of this 1162-nucleotide long non-coding RNA. RefSeq lists it as uncharacterized. Lineage: Eukaryota; Metazoa; Chordata; Aves; Strigiformes; Tytonidae. The transcript has 3 exons. The record is from RefSeq and is a predicted model, not a curated record.